GGUGAACGCUAGCGGUGCGCCUAACACAUGCAAGUCGAGCGGUAGACUAGGUGCUUGCACCUAGUUGAGAGCGGCGAACGGGUGAGUAACAUGUUGAUAUCUGCCCCCAAGUCAGGGAUAGCCAUUGGAAACGAUGAUUAAUACCGGAUGUGCUCUACGGAGUAAAGAUUUAUUGCUUGGGGAGGAGUCUACACGGUAUCAGUUAGUUGGUGGGGUAAAGGCCUACCAAGACUAUGACGCCUAGUUGGUCUGAGAGGAUGAUCAGCCACAAUGGAACUGAGACACGGUCCAUACUCCUACGGGAGGCAGCAGUGAGGAAUCUUCCACAAUGGACGCAAGUCUGAUGGAGCGACACCGCGUGAAGGAUGACGGCCUAACGGUUGUAAACUUCUUUUCUGGAGGAGCAUAAUGAGAGUACUUCAGGAAUAAGGGACGGCUAAUUAUG
Molecule: ribosomal RNA, 445 nt
Filed under: uncultured bacterium
Lineage: Bacteria
Description: bacterial SSU rRNA
Rfam family: Bacterial small subunit ribosomal RNA
Source: RNAcentral